Small nuclear RNA from Bos grunniens (domestic yak), 107 nucleotides. Lineage: Eukaryota; Metazoa; Chordata; Mammalia; Artiodactyla; Bovidae. The record is from Ensembl.
GUGCGCGCCUUAGCAGCACAUAUACUAAAAUUAGAACGAUACAGAGAAGAUUAGCAUGGCCCCUGUGCAAGGAUGAUAUGCAAAUUCGUGAAGCAUUCCAUACUUUU